GUUGAUGGAUGUGCUUGGCCAGAAGGGUCCUAGACGGGGUCAAUAGCUAGAAAGCUCCUUUGGGAGAGCAAGCUUCGAGAUUCACUCGGCUAUAUAUCUGCAGGACCUACUCGUGAUCUUGACUUAGGAAUGAAUUCUCCAAGUGCACCCUCUUCCUUCCUUGCCUGGCUUCUUAGCCUAUCCUGCUCCUACAGCUGCUAGGGGUUACAUGAGUAAGGGGUUCAGCCCUUCUUUACGUUUACGUGCCUAUAUCACGAGUUUACAGCAUGUUGUCGUUUAUGGAUGGCUUCUUCGUUCACAAUCAAAUGUCGAUGGCAGAGGAGGAUAGAGAAAGGACAUCAUGAAUAACUACAUAGGGCACAUUCUUCUACCGGGUCAUGGCCUUUUGACUUCAAAAUGCCGGAGCAAGAUAACAAAGGGAGCUGAACCUUUUAUUCCACCAACUUAUGCACAAAGAAGU
This 460-nucleotide long non-coding RNA is filed under the name Gossypium barbadense (sea-island cotton). RNAcentral describes it as "long non-coding RNA (GBAR_LNC005151)". The record is from RNAcentral. Lineage: Eukaryota; Viridiplantae; Streptophyta; Magnoliopsida; Malvales; Malvaceae.